UUUUCCUACGGGGGGCAGCAGUGAGGAAUAUUGGUCAAUGGGCUUACGCCUGAACCAGCCAAGUCGCGUGAGGGAAGACUGCCCUAUGGGUUGUAAACCUCUUUUGUCAGGGAGCAACGCCGGCUACGUGUAGCCGGACUGAGAGUACCUGAAGAAAAAGCAUCGGCUAACUCCGUGCCAGCAGCCGCGGUAAUACGGAGGAUGCGAGCGUUAUCCGGAUUUAUUGGGUUUAAAGGGUGCGUAGGCGGAAUAUCAAGUCAGCGGUAAAAAUUCGGUGCUCAACCCCGUCGUGCCGUUGAAACUGG
Molecule: ribosomal RNA, 305 nt
Filed under: uncultured bacterium
Lineage: Bacteria
Description: bacterial SSU rRNA
Rfam family: Bacterial small subunit ribosomal RNA
Source: RNAcentral